ACUCCUACGGGAGGCAGCAGUGGGGAAUAUUGCACAAUGGGCGCAAGCCUGAUGCAGCCAUGCCGCGUGUGUGAAGAAGGCCUUCGGGUUGUAAAGCACUUUCAGUCGUGAGGAAGGUGGUAGUGUUAAUAGCACUAUCAUUUGACGUUAGCGACAGAAGAAGCACCGGCUAACUCCGUGCCAGCAGCCGCGGUAAUACGGAGGGUGCGAGCGUUAAUCGGAAUUACUGGGCGUAAAGCGCAUGCAGGUGGUUGUUAAGUCAGAUGUGAAAGCCCGGGGCUCAACCUCGGAAUAGCAUUUGAAACUGGCAAACUAGAGUACUGGUAGAGGGGGUAGAAUUUCAGGUGUAGCGGUGAAAUGCGUAGAGAUCUGAAGGAAUACCGGUGGCGAAGGCGGCCCCCUGGACAGAUACUGACACUCAGAUGCGAAAGCGUGGGAGCAAACAGGAUUAGGACCUACGUGGU
This 464-nucleotide ribosomal RNA is filed under the name uncultured bacterium. Its description in RNAcentral is "bacterial SSU rRNA". It matches the Rfam family "Bacterial small subunit ribosomal RNA", at positions 335 to 794 of the family's 1533-position model. The record is from RNAcentral.